This 426-nucleotide ribosomal RNA is filed under the name uncultured bacterium. RNAcentral describes it as "bacterial SSU rRNA". It matches the Rfam family "Bacterial small subunit ribosomal RNA", at positions 355 to 773 of the family's 1533-position model. The record is from RNAcentral.
UGGGGAGUAUUGGACAAUGGGGGCAACCCUGAUCCGGCAAUGCCGCGUGUGUGAAGAAGGCCUUAGGGUUGUAAAGCACUUUAGGCUGGGAAGAAGGUGAGUAGUUUAAGAGAUGACUCAUUUGACUGUACCGGCAGAAGAAGCCCCGGCUAACUUCGUGCCAGCAGCCGCGGUAAUACGUAGGUGGCAAGCGUUGUCCGGAUUUAUUGGGUUUAAAGGGUGCGUAGGCGGUUCUUUAAGUCAGUGGUGAAAUACGGCAGGUCAACUGUCGAGGUGCCAUUGAUACUGGGGAACUUGAGUACUGAUGAGGUAGGCGGAAUGGACGGUGUAGCGGUGAAAUGCUUAGAUAUCGUCCAGAACACCGAUAGCGAAGGCAGCUUACUAAGGAGUAACUGACGCUGAGGCACGAAAGUGUGGGGAUCAAAC